GCGCGAAAACUUUACAAUGCUGGCAACAGCGAUAAGGGAACCUCGAGUGCCAGGUUACAAAUCUGGCUGUCGAGAUGCCUAAAAAGCAUUUCAUAGCAAGGGCCGGGCAAGACCGGUGCCAGCCGCCGCGGUAACACCGGCGGCUCGAGUGGUAACCGUUAUUAUUGGGUCUAAAGGGUCUGUAGCCGGCCGGAUAAGUCUCUUGGGAAAUCUGGCAGCUCAACUGUCAGGCUUUCAGGAGAUACUGUCUGGCUCGAGGCCGGGAGAGGUGAGAGGUACUUCAGGGGUAGGGGUGAAAUCUUGUAAUCCUUGAAGGACCACCAGUGGCGAAGGCGUCUCACCAGAACGGACCUGACGGCAAGGGACAAAAGCUAGGGGCACGAACCG
Molecule: ribosomal RNA, 387 nt
Filed under: uncultured bacterium
Lineage: Bacteria
Description: bacterial SSU rRNA
Rfam family: Archaeal small subunit ribosomal RNA
Source: RNAcentral